GAUCAAAGAGACAAAUUCAGAGUCUGAAAUGGAAAAUUGGGUUGAUUAUGUUAAUGAUAGACCUACCAAUGACAUGAGAUAUCCAAUGAAGUCAGAAAAGAUUCACGGUUUAGGAUGGAAACCUAAAGUGCCUUGGAAUGAAGGAAUAAAGAAAACAAUUGAAUGGUACAGAGAGAAUUUUCACAACUGGAAGAAUGUGGAACAAGCAUUAGAGCCCUUUCCAGUACAGCCACCAUUUAUGUAAUCGGCACAGUCUUCAGAGGAAGAAAAAAUUGUCCUACCUCAACAAGUGACAUGAAAUCAUGUGACCAAAUGAAGAGCCCUAAUUCAUUAGGAAUAGAUCCAUGGUUUUUUGUAUUAAAUUCCUUUUUUUUGGGGGGGAGGGGAAGGUUGU
This is a long non-coding RNA of Dipodomys ordii (Ord's kangaroo rat), 394 nucleotides long. RefSeq lists it as uncharacterized. The record is from RefSeq and is a predicted model, not a curated record. Lineage: Eukaryota; Metazoa; Chordata; Mammalia; Rodentia; Heteromyidae. The transcript has 3 exons.